UACGUAGGGGGCAAGCGUUGUCCGGAAUUACUGGGCGUAAAGCGCGUGUAGGCGGCACGGCAAGUCGGAUGUGAAAGCCCGCGGCUCAACCGUGGAAGUGCACUCGAAACUGCCGAGCUAGAGUCUCGGAGAGGAAGGUGGAAUGCUUGGUGUAGAGGUGAAAUUCGUAGAUAUCAAGCAGAACACCUGUGGCGAAGGCGGCCUUCUGGACGAUGACUGACGCUGAGACGCGAAAGCGUGGGGAGCAAACAGG
RNAcentral lists this ribosomal RNA (253 nucleotides) under uncultured bacterium. RNAcentral's name for it is "partial 16S ribosomal RNA". It matches the Rfam family "Bacterial small subunit ribosomal RNA", at positions 524 to 776 of the family's 1533-position model. The record is from RNAcentral.